CAAGGAUUCCCCUAGUAGCGGCGAGCGAAGCGGGAAAAGCUCAAAUUUGUAAUCUGGCGUCUUCGACGUCCGAGUUGUAAUCUCGAGAAGUGUUUUCCGUGAUAGACCGCAUACAAGUCUCUUGGAACAGAGCGUCAUAGUGGUGAGAACCCAGUACACGAUGCGGAUGCCUAUUACUUUGUGAUACACUUUCGAAGAGUCGAGUUGUUUGGGAAUGCAGCUCAAAUUGGGUGGUAAAUUCCAUCUAAAGCUAAAUAUUGGCGAGAGACCGAUAGCGAACAAGUACCGUGAGGGAAAGAUGAAAAGCACUUUGGAAAGAGAGUUAACAGUACGUGAAAUUGUUGGAAGGGAAACACAUGCAGUGAUACUUGCUAUUCGGGGCAACUCGAUUGGCAGGCCCGCAUCAGUUUUUCGGGGCGGAAAAGCGUAGAGAGAAGGUAGCAGUUUCGGCUGUGUUAUAGCUCUUUACUGGAUUCGCCCUGGGGGACUGAGGAACGCAGCGUGCUUUUUGCAUGAGCUUCGGCUUAUCCACGCUUAGGAUGCGGGUUUAUGGCUGUAUAUGACCCGUCUUGAAACACGGACCAAGGAGUCUAACAUGCUUGCGAGUAUUUGGGUGUCAAACCCGGAUGCGCAAUGAAAGUGAAUGGAGGUGGGAAGCGCAAGCUGCACCAUCGACCGAUCUGGAUUUUUUAAGAUGGAUUUGAGUAAGAGCAAGUAUGUUGGGACCCGAAAGAUGGUGAACUAUGCCUGAAUAGGGCGAAGCCAGAGGAAACUCUGGUGGAGGCUCGUAGCGGUUCUGACGUGCAAAUCGAUCGUCAAAUUUGGGUAUAGGGGCGAAAGACUAAUCGAACCAUUUAGAAGCUGGUUCCUGCCGA
This 875-nucleotide ribosomal RNA is filed under the name Sporobolomyces pararoseus. RNAcentral's name for it is "LSU rRNA". It matches the Rfam family "Eukaryotic large subunit ribosomal RNA", at positions 69 to 964 of the family's 3401-position model. The record is from RNAcentral. Lineage: Eukaryota; Fungi; Basidiomycota; Microbotryomycetes; Sporidiobolales; Sporidiobolaceae.